AUUGAACGCUGGCGGCAUGCCUUACACAUGCAAGUCGAACGGCAGCACGGGUUCUUGCACCUGGUGGCGAGUGGCGAACGGGUGAGUAAUACAUCGGAACAUGUCCUGUUGUGAGGGAUAGCCCUGCGAACGCCGGAUUAAUACCGCAUACGAUCUACGGAUGAAAGCGGGGGACCGUCGUGCCUCGCGCUAUAGGGUCGGCCGAUGGCGGAUUAGCUAGUUGGUGGGGUAAAGGCCUACCAAGGCGACGAUCAGUAGCUGGUCUGAGAGGACGACCAGCCAAAGUGGGAGUGCGACACGGCCCAGACUCCUACGGGAGGGAGCAGUGGGGAAUUUUGGACCAUGGCCGAAAGCAUGAUCCAGAAAUGCCGCGUGAGUGAAGAAGGCCGUCGGGUUGUAAAGCACUUUUGUCCGGAAAGAAACCCUUGGCCAUAAUACGGUCGGGGGAUGACGGUACCGGAAGAAUAAGCACCGGCUAACUACGUG
RNAcentral lists this ribosomal RNA (486 nucleotides) under uncultured bacterium. RNAcentral's name for it is "partial 16S ribosomal RNA". It matches the Rfam family "Bacterial small subunit ribosomal RNA", at positions 30 to 507 of the family's 1533-position model. The record is from RNAcentral.